UAUUGGGCAAUGCCCGCAAGGGUGACCCAGCAACGCCGCGUGGAGGAUGAAUGUCGUAAGAUUGUAAACUCCUGUUAGAGGGGAAGAAUAGUACCGGUUGGACCGGUAUAUGACUGUACCCUCAGAGAAAGCCCCGGCAAACUUCGUGCCAGCAGCCGCGGUAAUACGAAGGGGGCUAGCGUUGUUCGGAAUUACUGGGCGUAAAGCGCACGUAGGCGGUUUUCCAAGUUGGAGGUGAAAUCCCUGGGCUCAACCCGGGAACUGCCUCCAAAACUGGAUGACUCGAGUCCGAGAGAGGUGAGUGGAAUUUCCAGUGUAGAGGUGAAAUUCGUAGAUAUUGGAAAGAACACCAGUGGCGAAGGCGGCUCACUGGCUCGGUACUGACGCUGAGGUGCGACAGCGUGGGGAGCAAACA
Molecule: ribosomal RNA, 415 nt
Filed under: uncultured bacterium
Lineage: Bacteria
Description: bacterial SSU rRNA
Rfam family: Bacterial small subunit ribosomal RNA
Source: RNAcentral